AAAAGUUUAAAAAAAAAACUUUCAACAACGGAUCUCUUGGUUCUCGCAUCGAUGAAGAACGCAGCGAAUUGCGAUACGUAAUAUGACUUGCAGACGUGAAUCAUUGAAUUUUUGAACGCACAUUGCGCCUUAAGGUAUUCCUCAAGGCAUGCGUGGAUGAGCGAUAUUUACUCUCAAACCUUCGGUUUGGUCUUGUAACCACAAAAUAUCAAA
This 213-nucleotide unclassified non-coding RNA is filed under the name Metschnikowia sp. NJ-2015. RNAcentral describes it as "sequence contains ITS1, 5.8S rRNA gene, ITS2". The stretch from base 17 to 166 matches the Rfam family "5.8S ribosomal RNA". From Rfam's summary of the family: 5.8S ribosomal RNA (5.8S rRNA) is a component of the large subunit of the eukaryotic ribosome. It is transcribed by RNA polymerase I as part of the 45S precursor that also contains 18S and 28S rRNA. The record is from RNAcentral. Lineage: Eukaryota; Fungi; Ascomycota; Pichiomycetes; Serinales; Metschnikowiaceae.